AGAGGACUAACCUGAAGUUGGAGCUACACACCAUGAUGAUCAGAUUUGGGGUUGUUGUGGUAAUAUUCAGUACAAUAUGUGUGUCAAAAUGCAACAAUGUUCAGCGGCAUAUUCAAGUUCCGGGGGUUCAAAUUGGUGGUAUGCAGGCACCAUAGUGGUAUGCAGGCACCAUACCGUUAUGCAGGCACCAUACCGUCAUGCAGAUGGCACAUCUCAACAAAUCUGUGAUGGCAUUCUCAGUGCUGACCAGUUGGGUCAACAGGGAUUCAGUGGUGACCGGCUACAAUACACUGGAGUGACCUUUACCACCAAGACAACUGGAACCAGGAGAAAUAAAUGAAAGAAUUGGGGAGUAUCCUGUUGUUCCACUAUUGGAAGUUGCAACAUCACAGAAACAAGCAAAUCUUUUUUUACAGACAUGGAUCACAGUUUGUUUUCUAUAGUUUAAAGGGGUGUAAUUCCCAGAGUUGUGCUAUUUUGUUUCUUUGAUUAUUUCAGAAAUUAAGUGUAAAUGCAAGUAUGUUUAAUUAGUAAUCCAUUUCAAAGAGAAGAUCUUUGAUGACAGUUGUGUAAAUCAACCUUUGUACCAUUAUUAAAAGCUCCAUUCUAAAUAAUGUGAUGAAUCAGACGAUAAAGUUGGUUAGAUGAUUCGAUAUAGACCUACAGGUACCUAAAUUCUGGUACAUUAUAGCUAUAAACUGUCACGGAUCUCUCCGGAACUUUCAUUACGCACACCUGUCCCCUAUUCCUACUGAUUAGUGCUUGCAUAAGUGUGUCUUUGGUUUCCAUUGGGCGGUCAAUUAUUGUUCAAAUGUCCGUUGUUUCUUGUGAGUACCUGUUCUAUGUGUGUUUUGGCUUUCGUGCGCAGAUGAUUACGGGUCUCGUCCUGUGUGUUAAUCAGUGUGCGCUUGUGUUAUUUACUCGAGGUACUCCUCGCUCUUUUGUUUGGGUUUCUACCCUUUGUUUUCUUUAUUGUUUGUUUAGUCUUCA
Oncorhynchus tshawytscha (Chinook salmon) is the source of this 990-nucleotide long non-coding RNA. RefSeq lists it as uncharacterized. Lineage: Eukaryota; Metazoa; Chordata; Actinopteri; Salmoniformes; Salmonidae. The transcript has 4 exons. The record is from RefSeq and is a predicted model, not a curated record.